Molecule: ribosomal RNA, 614 nt
Filed under: uncultured bacterium
Lineage: Bacteria
Description: bacterial SSU rRNA
Rfam family: Bacterial small subunit ribosomal RNA
Source: RNAcentral
CCUACGGGAGGCAGCAGUGGGGAAUUUUGGACAAUGGGCGAAAGCCUGAUCCAGCCAUGCCGCGUGCAGGAUGAAGGCCUUCGGGUUGUAAACUGCUUUUGUACGGAACGAAAAGACUCUGGUUAAUACCUGGGGUCCAUGACGGUACCGUAAGAAUAAGCACCGGCUAACUACGUGCCAGCAGCCGCGGUAAUACGUAGGGUGCGAGCGUUAAUCGGAAUUACUGGGCGUAAAGCGUGCGCAGGCGGUUAUAUAAGACAGAUGUGAAAUCCCCGGGCUCAACCUGGGAACUGCAUUUGUGACUGUAUAGCUAGAGUACGGCAGAGGGGGAUGGAAUUCCGCGUGUAGCAGUGAAAUGCGUAGAUAUGCGGAGGAACACCGAUGGCGAAGGCAAUCCCCUGGGCCUGUACUGACGCUCAUGCACGAAAGCGUGGGGAGCAAACAGGAUUAGAUACCCUGGUAGUCCACGCCCUAAACGAUGUCAACUGGUUGUUGGGUCUUCACUGACUCAGUAACCGAAGCUAACGCGUGAAGUUGACCGCCUGGGGAUCGGCCGCAAGGUUGAAACUCAAAGGAUUGACGGNNGAGAGNGCGAGCGACGACGAGGGAGGAGG